AAUUGUAAUAUUAACUAAGAAGGAUUUAUUCGCUUAUAGAGGGGUCUAUGGUUGAUUAGCUAGUUGGUGGGGUAAGAGCUCACCAAGGCGACGAUCAAUAGCUGGUCUGAGAGGACGAUCAGCCACACUGGGACUGAGACACGGCCCAGACUUCUACGGAAGGCAGCAGUGGGGAAUUUUCGCAAUGGGCGAAAGCCUGACGGAGCGACACCGCGUGGAGGAUGAAAUUUUUCGGAAUGUAAACUCCUUUUGGCAGGAAUGAAACAAAUGACAGUACCUGCAGAAUAAGCAUCGGCUAACUACGUGCCAGCAGCCGCGGUAAUACGUAGGAUGCAAGCGUUGUUCGGAAUUACUGGGCGUAAAGAGUACGUAGGCGGUAAUGAAAGUCUGAUAUUAAAGACUGGGGCUUAACCUCAGGAGUGUAUCGGAAACUUCAUAACUAGAGGACAGUAGAGGAAAUUGGAAUUCCCAGUGUAGCGGUGAAAUGCGUAGAUAUUGGGAG
Molecule: ribosomal RNA, 502 nt
Filed under: uncultured bacterium
Lineage: Bacteria
Description: bacterial SSU rRNA
Rfam family: Bacterial small subunit ribosomal RNA
Source: RNAcentral